CGGGGCGUAGCUCAGGUGGUAGAGCGUCGGCUUUGGGAGCCGAAGGUCGCCGGUUCAAGUCCGGCCGCCCCGA
RNAcentral lists this transfer RNA (73 nucleotides) under Aquifex aeolicus. RNAcentral describes it as "tRNA-Pro". It matches the Rfam family "tRNA". From Rfam's summary of the family: Transfer RNA (tRNA) molecules are approximately 80 nucleotides in length. Their secondary structure includes four short double-helical elements and three loops (D, anti-codon, and T loops). Further hydrogen bonds mediate the characteristic L-shaped molecular structure. tRNAs have two regions of fundamental functional importance: the anti-codon, which is responsible for specific mRNA codon recognition, and the 3' end, to which the tRNAs corresponding amino acid is attached (by aminoacyl-tRNA synthetases). tRNAs cope with the degeneracy of the genetic code in two manners: having more than one tRNA (with a specific anti-codon) for a particular amino acid; and 'wobble' base-pairing, i.e. permitting non-standard base-pairing at the 3rd anti-codon position. RNAcentral also lists the same sequence under 3 other names. Lineage: Bacteria; Pseudomonadati; Aquificota; Aquificia; Aquificales; Aquificaceae. The record is from RNAcentral.